GAUGAAGAACGCAGCGAAAUGCGAUACGUAAUACGAAUUGCAGAUUCAGUGAAUCAUCGAGUUUUUGAACGCACAUUGCGCCCCCUGGUAUUCCGGGGGGCAUGCCUGUCCGAGCGUCAUUGCUGCCCUCAAGCACGGCUUGUGUGUUGGGCCUCCGUCCUCCUCCCGGGGGACGGGCCCGAAAGGCAGCGGCGGCACCGCGUCCGGUCCUCGAGCGUAUGGGGCUUCGUCACCCGCUCUUGUAGGCCCGGCCGGCGCUUGCCGACACAUCAAUCUUUUUUCCAGGUUGACCUCGGAUCAGGGAGGGAUACCCGCUGAACUUAAGCAUAUCAAUAAGCGGAGGA
This 344-nucleotide unclassified non-coding RNA is filed under the name soil metagenome. Its description in RNAcentral is "partial contains 5.8S ribosomal RNA, internal transcribed spacer 2, and large subunit ribosomal RNA". The stretch from base 1 to 119 matches the Rfam family "5.8S ribosomal RNA", at positions 35 to 154 of the family's 154-position model. The record is from RNAcentral.